This 293-nucleotide ribosomal RNA is filed under the name uncultured prokaryote. RNAcentral's name for it is "partial 16S ribosomal RNA". It matches the Rfam family "Archaeal small subunit ribosomal RNA", at positions 455 to 747 of the family's 1478-position model. The record is from RNAcentral.
GUGUCAGCAGCCGCGGUAAUACCGGCAGCCCGAGUGAUGACCGCUAUUAUUGGGCCUAAAGCGUCCGUAGCUGGCCACGCAAGUCUAUCGGGAAAUCCGCGCGCUUAACGCGCAGGCGUCCGGUGGAAACUGCGUGGCUUGGGACCGGAAGACCAGAGGGGUACGUCCGGGGUAGGAGUGAAAUCCCGUAAUCCUGGACGGACCACCGGUGGCGAAAGCGCCUCUGGAAGACGGAUCCGACGGUGAGGGACGAAGGCCAGGGUCUCGAACCGGAUUAGAAACCCCUGUAGUCC